This 478-nucleotide ribosomal RNA is filed under the name uncultured bacterium. Its description in RNAcentral is "bacterial SSU rRNA". It matches the Rfam family "Bacterial small subunit ribosomal RNA", at positions 30 to 506 of the family's 1533-position model. The record is from RNAcentral.
UUGAACGCUGGCGGCAUGCUUUACACAUGCAAGUCGAACGGUAGAGGGCUUCGGCCCUUGAGAGUGGCGAACGGGUGAGUAAUGCAUCGGAACAUACCCAGUCGUGGGGGAUAACGUAGCGAAAGUUACGCUAAUACCGCAUACGUCCUGAGGGAGAAAGGGGGGGAUCGCAAGACCUCUCGCUUUCGGAGUGGCCGAUAUCAGAUUAGCUAGUUGGUGAGGUAAAGGCUCACCAAGGCGACGAUCUGUAGCUGGUCUGAGAGGACGACCAGCCACACUGGGACUGAGACACGGCCCAGACUCCUACGGGAGGCAGCAGUGGGGAAUUUUGGACAAUGGGCGCAAGCCUGAUCCAGCCAUGCCGCGUGAGUGAAGAAGGCCUUCGGGUUGUAAAGCUCUUUCGGACAGAAAGAAAUCGCACUGGUUAAUACCUUGUGUGGAUGACGGUACUGUAAGAAGAAGCACCGGCUAACUACGU